RNAcentral lists this ribosomal RNA (1372 nucleotides) under uncultured bacterium. RNAcentral describes it as "bacterial SSU rRNA". It matches the Rfam family "Bacterial small subunit ribosomal RNA". The record is from RNAcentral.
AGAGUUUGAUCCUGGCUCAGAACGAACGCUGGCGGCGUGGAUAAGACAUGCAAGUCGAACGAGAGAAUUGCUAGCUUGCUAAUAAUUCUCUAGUGGCGCACGGGUGAGUAACACGUGAGUAACCUGCCCCCGAGAGCGGGAUAGCCCUGGGAAACUGGGAUUAAUACCGCAUAGUAUCGAAAGAUUAAAGCAGCAAUGCGCUUGGGGAUGGGCUCGCGGCCUAUUAGUUAGUUGGUGAGGUAACGGCUCACCAAGGCGAUGACGGGUAGCCGGUCUGAGAGGAUGUCCGGCCACACUGGAACUGAGACACGGUCCAGACACCUACGGGUGGCAGCAGUCGAGAAUCAUUCACAAUGGGGGAAACCCUGAUGGUGCGACGCCGCGUGGGGGAAUGAAGGUCUUCGGAUUGUAAACCCCUGUCAUGUGGGAGCAAAUUAAAAAGAUAGUACCACAAGAGGAAGAGACGGCUAACUCUGUGCCAGCAGCCGCGGUAAUACAGAGGUCUCAAGCGUUGUUCGGAAUCACUGGGCGUAAAGCGUGCGUAGGCUGUUUCGUAAGUCGUGUGUGAAAGGCGCGGGCUCAACCCGCGGACGGCACAUGAUACUGCGAGACUAGAGUAAUGGAGGGGGAACCGGAAUUCUUGGUGUAGCAGUGAAAUGCGUAGAUAUCGAGAGGAACACUCGUGGCGAAGGCGGGUUCCUGGACAUUAACUGACGCUGAGGCACGAAGGCCAGGGGAGCGAAAGGGAUUAGAUACCCCUGUAGUCCUGGCAGUAAAACGGGUGCACGCUUGGUGUGCGGGGAAUCGACCCCCUGCGUGCCGGAGCUAACGCGUUAAGCGUGCCGCCUGGGGAGUACGGUCGCAAGAUUAAAACUCAAAGAAAUUGACGGGGACCCGCACAAGCGGUGGAGUAUGUGGCUUAAUUCGAUGCAACGCGAAGAACCUUACCUGGGCUUGACAUGUAAUGAACAACAUGUGAAAGCAUGCGACUCUUCGGAGGCGUUACACAGGUGCUGCAUGGCCGUCGUCAGCUCGUGUCGUGAGAUGUUUGGUUAAGUCCAGCAACGAGCGCAACCCCUGUUGCCAGUUACCAGCACGUGAAGGUGGGGACUCUGGCGAGACUGCCCAGAUCAACUGGGAGGAAGGUGGGGACGACGUCAGGUCAGUAUGGCCCUUAUGCCCAGGGCUGCACACGUACUACAAUGCCCAGUACAGAGGGGGCCGAAGCCGCGAGGCGGAGGAAAUCCUAAAAACUGGGCCCAGUUCGGACUGUAGGCUGCAACCCGCCUACACGAAGCCGGAAUCGCUAGUAAUGGCGCAUCAGCUACGGCGCCGUGAAUACGUUCCCGGGUCUUGCACUCACAGGCCGUCA